Molecule: ribosomal RNA, 505 nt
Filed under: uncultured bacterium
Lineage: Bacteria
Description: bacterial SSU rRNA
Rfam family: Bacterial small subunit ribosomal RNA
Source: RNAcentral
GACGAACGCUGGCGGCGUGCCUAAUACAUGCAAGUCGAGCGGACCAAAGGGAGCUUGCUCCUGGAGGUUAGCGGCGAACGGGUGAGUAACACGUGGGCAACCUGCCUGUAAGACUGGGAUAACAUCGAGAAAUCGGUGCUAAUACCGGAUAAUAAAAAGAACUGCAUGGUUCUUUUUUGAAAGAUGGUUUCGGCUAUCACUUACAGAUGGGCCGCGGCGCAUUAGCUAGUUGGUGAGGUAACGGCUCACCAAGGCGACGAUGCGUAGCCGACCUGAGAGGGUGAUCGACCACACUGGGACUGAGACACGGCCCAGACUCCUACGGGAGGCAGCAGUAGGGAAUCUUCCGCAAUGGACGAAAGUCUGACGGAGCAACGCCGCGUGAGUGAUGAAGGUUUUCGGAUCGUAAAACUCUGUUGUUAGGGAAGAACAAGUGCCGUUCGAAAGGGCGGCACCUUGACGGUACCUAACGAGAAAGCCACGGCUAACUACGUGCCAGCAGCCG